CAAUAGCGUAUAUUAAAGUUGUUGCAGUUAAAAAGCUCGUAGUUGGAUUUGUGGCGUACGGUGUGUUCCGGGCACUUGUUGUCUGAGUAACCUGCUGUUGCCAUCCUUGGGUGGAACCUGUGUGGCAUUAGGUUGUCGUGCAGGGGAUGCCCAUCAUUUACUGUGAAAAAAUUAGAGUGUUCAAAGCAGGCUUAUGCCGUUGAAUAUAUUAGCAUGGAAUAAUGAGAUAGGACUUUUUUGCUAUUUUGUUGGUUUGCGCAAGAAGGUAAUGAUUAAUAGGGACAGUUGGGGUAUUCGUAUUCCAUUGUCAGAGGUGAAAUUCUUGGAUUUUUGGAAGACGAACUACUGCGAAAGCAUUUACCAAGGAUGUUUUCAUUAA
RNAcentral lists this ribosomal RNA (379 nucleotides) under uncultured eukaryote. RNAcentral's name for it is "partial 18S ribosomal RNA". It matches the Rfam family "Eukaryotic small subunit ribosomal RNA", at positions 592 to 976 of the family's 1831-position model. The record is from RNAcentral.